Nomascus leucogenys (northern white-cheeked gibbon) is the source of this 1748-nucleotide RNA transcript. It is a transcript of the gene named 60S ribosomal protein L26-like, with no coding region annotated. The record is from RefSeq and is a predicted model, not a curated record. Lineage: Eukaryota; Metazoa; Chordata; Mammalia; Primates; Hylobatidae. The transcript has a single exon.
CAGAGCAAAACCCUGUAUCUGAAAAAAAAAAAAAAAAAAAAAAGUUAUUUGGGAAAGGUGCCUCCAAGCCUCUUUGAGAUUCUCAAAGUACAGUCAGCACGUGGUUCUAAUAAUCAUUGGAGUAUACCGUACGGUCAUUCGGAUUGCAGAUGUCCAGCCUCUGCUGUGACUGGCUACUGCCUUUGCCAUAGUGGUUGUUAAAUAUUUUGAAUAUCACCAUUAUUUACAACUAAAAUAUUCCCUACAUUACAAACGAAACAAAAAGGAGAAUAAAGAAUUCAGGUUGCUGACUUAAAAGCAUCCAAAAAGUCAUUGGCAUGGAAUGAUUAAUAACAUUCCCUUGUGUUCAUGGAGGACUUCAGAUCUUUCAGACUGUUUUUACAGCAAUUCUUUAUGCUGACCCUCAGAACAACUGAGAUAGAGGAAAAAGAAUGGGAAAAAGGAGGGUUGAGGGAGAGAGAGAGAGAAACCACAAGCUCCACUUUAACAAACAUAGAGGCAAGUUACAGAGGUUUUGGGUGAUCUGCCCAUGGUCAAAGGGAAGGUGAGUAAUGGAGGCCAGGCAGGAUCCUAGCAAGUGUUCUAUCCACUCAACCACCAAGCUUUGGACUGGAACAUCAAGUAGGAGCAGACCAAAGAGCGCAACAAGCGGAACUCAGCUCAUCACUUCCAGGUUCUAACACUUUCCUUCUUUUUUUUCUACCCUUUAUCUUGUCACAUUCAGUUCCAUGGAAACUGGCAGAGCCAGAUGGAUUUCAGACAACUAAAACAUACGUGGGGAAAGAAGCAGACCUUCCUUAAAAAUACAAACCCUUCUCUUCCCUUUUGCGGCCAUCACCAAAGCAGGAGCGGCCAAAAUGAAGUUCAAUCCUUUUGUGACUUCCAACCGAGGCAAGAAACGCAAAAGGCAUUUCAAUGCAACUUCCAACAUUAGCAGGAAGAUUAUGUCUUCCCUUCUUUCCAAAGAGCUGAGAGAGAAGUACAAUGUGGUAUCCAUGCCCAUCCGAAAGGUUUUGAUGAAGGUCAGGUUGUAUGAGGACACUAUAAAGGUCAGCAAAUUGGCAAAAUAGUCCAGGCUUACAGGAAGAAAUAUGUCAUCUACAUUGAAUGGGUGCAGUGGGAAAAGGCUAAUGGCACAACUAUCCAUGUAGACAUUCACCACAGCAAGGUGGUUCUCACUAGGCUAAAACUGGACAAAGACGGCAAAAAGAUUCCUGAACAGAAAGCCAAAUCUCGCCAAGUAGGAAAGGAAAAGGGCAAAUACAGGGAAGAAACAAUUGAGAAGAGGCAGGAAUAAAGUAAUCUUAUAUACAAGCUUUGAUAAAAACUUGAAAUAAAAAAAAGAAAAUACAAACCUUGAUCUCAAUCUAUAGGUUUCCUUUUGCUGGCCAACUGAGAUUGAUUAUGUAUUGGAUUGUAGUUGUAGGACGAGGGACAGGGAAAAAGUUUUUAAAAAGCUUUAAAAUAAGCUACAUUAAAAUGAUCAUAAAAAACACCACUUUUUACUUUGGCAAAUAUAAAAUUUCCGAAGUUACAUUUAGAAACCUUAUCAAAGUAGAGGAGCAAAGAUGCCAGACAUAAAUUAAUCAUAAGAUCCAUUUCAAGUGUUUCAAUCACAGGAGAAAAAUAUAAAUUGUAAUUACUUAAACAUAGUUAUACAAAGUCUAGCUCUGUUGCCAAGGGUGGAGUGCAGUGGCGUGAUCUGGGCUCACUUGCAACCACCACUUCCCAGGUUCAAGCGAUUCUCC